RNAcentral lists this ribosomal RNA (301 nucleotides) under uncultured bacterium. RNAcentral's name for it is "partial 16S ribosomal RNA". It matches the Rfam family "Bacterial small subunit ribosomal RNA", at positions 510 to 808 of the family's 1533-position model. The record is from RNAcentral.
CGUCGCCGCGGGAAUACAGAGGGUGCGAGCGUUAAUCGGAUUUACUGGGCGUAAAGCGUGCGUAGGCGGCUAAUUGAGUCGGAUGUGAAAUCCCCGAGCUUAACUUGGGAAUUGCAUUCGAUACUGGUUAGCUAGAGUGUGGGAGAGGAUGGUAGAAUUCCAGGUGUAGCGGUGAAAUGCGUAGAGAUCUGGAGGAAUACCGAUGGCGAAGGCAGCCAUCUGGCCUAACACUGACGCUGAGGUACGAAAGCAUGGGGAGCAAACAGGAUUAGAUACCCCCGUAGUCCCUGUCUCUUAUACA